Molecule: ribosomal RNA, 466 nt
Filed under: uncultured bacterium
Lineage: Bacteria
Description: partial 16S ribosomal RNA
Rfam family: Bacterial small subunit ribosomal RNA
Source: RNAcentral
GAUGAACGCUGGCGGCGUGCCUAACACAUGCAAGUCGAGCGAUCUCUUCGGAGAGAGCGGCGGACGGGUGAGUAACGCGUGGGUAACCUGCCCUGUACACACGGAUAACAUACCGAAAGGUACGCUAAUACGGGAUGAUAUAUAAAAGUCGCAUGGCUUUUAUAUCAAAGCUUUUGCGGUACAGGAUGGACCCGCGUCUGAUUAGCUAGUUGGUAAGGUAACGGCUUACCAAGGCGACGAUCAGUAGCCGACCUGAGAGGGUGAUCGGCCACACUGGAACUGAGACACGGUCCAGACUCCUACGGGAGGCAGCAGUGGGGAAUAUUGCACAACGGGCGAAAGCCUGAUGCAGCAACGCCGCGUGAGCGAUGAAGGCCUUCGGGUCGUAAAGCUCUGUCCUCAAGGAAGAUAAUGACGGUACUUGAGGAGGAAGCCCCGGCUAACUACGUGCCAGCCGCCGCAGUAA